GACGGAGGAUGCAAGUGUUAUCCGGAAUCACUGGGCGUAAAGCGUCUGUAGGUGGUUUAAUAAGUCAACUGUUAAAUCUUGAGGCUCAACCUCAAAAUCGCAGUCGAAACUAUUAGGCUAGAGUAUAGUAGGGGUAAAGGGAAUUUCCAGUGGAGCGGUGAAAUGCGUAGAGAUUGGAAAGAACACCGAUGGCGAAGGCACUUUACUGGGCUAUUACUAACACUCAGAGACGAAAGCUAAGGUAGCAAAUGGG
This 253-nucleotide ribosomal RNA is filed under the name uncultured bacterium. RNAcentral describes it as "partial 16S ribosomal RNA". It matches the Rfam family "Bacterial small subunit ribosomal RNA", at positions 524 to 776 of the family's 1533-position model. The record is from RNAcentral.